UCCAGAGACUGCAAGCGUUAUUCGGAUUCACUGGGCGUAAAGGGCGCGCAGGCGGCGCUUCAAGUCAGGCGUGAAAGCCCCGGGCUUAACCUGGGAAUUGCGCUUGGGACUGGAGGGCUUGAGUACGGGAGAGGAGAGUGGAAUUCCCAGUGUAGAGGUGAAAUUCGUAGAUAUUGGGAAGAACCCCGGUGGCGAAGGCGGCUCUCUGGACCGUAACUGACGCUGAGGCGCGAAAGCGUGGGGAGCAAACAGG
This 253-nucleotide ribosomal RNA is filed under the name uncultured bacterium. RNAcentral's name for it is "partial 16S ribosomal RNA". It matches the Rfam family "Bacterial small subunit ribosomal RNA", at positions 524 to 776 of the family's 1533-position model. The record is from RNAcentral.